UGAGUAGCUUUGGACCCGUGUCUGCCGGUAGAUCCCCCGACUCUUCGUGCGAGCCGACUACAGGCGCCGUGUCCCGUCAUUGGUUUGGCUUAUAUGCUGAUGUUGCCUUUCAAGUGCUUGCGUGCUGGUACCCGACCUACGGGAAGUGGUGCUUCUAACACGUUCGCCUCGCGGUGGACACCUUCGGGUGUGCCGCUGCGGCCUAACGGCGCUUGCGGCGUUUCCUCGUGGUUCUGGCACUCCUAGUGCCCGGUGCUACCAAGGCAGCCUCGCUCACGCUGUUGGUCUCGGAUGUUGCUCACGAUAAAGAGUCUUGGCCCUUUUGGUUGCCACGACCCGACCCUUAAGCUGCUCUCCGAAUUUGAGAACAACCGUGAACAGGUGUUGCCUCUACCUCUCCACAGUUAGUGGUAGGAUACGUAACAUUCUGCGCCGAUCCUCAAUCAAGUAGGAUGAGCUUAGCCCGCUCAAUCGUGACAACCGGCUCGGCCGUUGCCUUGGCCUUGACACGCAAGUGGAAGGGCGGACAAAGWCCGACGCUGGACGUCAACGAGGACGUGCU
RNAcentral lists this unclassified non-coding RNA (562 nucleotides) under Festuca pratensis. Its description in RNAcentral is "partial external transcribed spacer". The record is from RNAcentral. Lineage: Eukaryota; Viridiplantae; Streptophyta; Magnoliopsida; Poales; Poaceae.